UGGGGAAUAUUGGACAAUGGGCGCAAGCCUGAUCCAGCCAUGCCGCGUGUGUGAAGAAGGCCUUAUGGUUGUAAAGCACUUUAAGCGAGGAGGAGGCUACUUUAGUUAAUACCUAGAGAUAGUGGACGUUACUCGCAGAAUAAGCACCGGCUAACUCUGUGCCAGCAGCCGCGGUAAUACAGAGGGUGCAAGCGUUAAUCGGAUUUACUGGGCGUAAAGCGCGCGUAGGCGGCUAAUUAAGUCAAAUGUGAAAUCCCCGAGCUUAACUUGGGAAUUGCAUUCGAUACUGGUUAGCUAGAGUGUGGGAGAGGAUGGUAGAAUUCCAGGUGGAGCGGUGAAAUGCGUAGAGAUCUGGAGGAAUACCGAUGGCGAAGGCAGCCAUCUGGCCUAACACUGACGCUGGGGUGCGAAAGCAUGGGGAGCAAACAGG
RNAcentral lists this ribosomal RNA (430 nucleotides) under Pseudomonadota bacterium. RNAcentral describes it as "Proteobacteria bacterium partial 16S ribosomal RNA". It matches the Rfam family "Bacterial small subunit ribosomal RNA", at positions 355 to 776 of the family's 1533-position model. The record is from RNAcentral. Lineage: Bacteria; Pseudomonadati; Pseudomonadota.